Molecule: ribosomal RNA, 495 nt
Filed under: Clostridium sporogenes
Lineage: Bacteria; Bacillati; Bacillota; Clostridia; Eubacteriales; Clostridiaceae
Description: bacterial LSU rRNA
Rfam family: Bacterial large subunit ribosomal RNA
Source: RNAcentral
GGUCAAGCUACAAAGGGCGCAUGGUGAAUGCCUUGGCACUAGGAGCCGAAGAAGGACGCGAUAAGCUGCGAUAAGCCUUGGGUAGUCGCAAAUAGGCUGAGAUCCAGGGAUUUCCGAAUGAGGAAACUCACAUGGGUAACCCCAUGUAUCAUGCACUGAAUACAUAGGUGUAUGAGGGUAAACCCGGGGAACUGAAACAUCUAAGUACCCGGAGGAAGAGAAAGAAAAAUCGAUUUCCUAAGUAGCGGCGAGCGAAUGGGAAAGAGCCCAAACCAGAAACUUGUUUCUGGGGUUGUGGAUAGAUCAUAAAAGAAGAGGUAUCUUAAUCGAAGAGGGCUGGAACGCCCUACCAUAGAAGGUAAUAGUCCUGUAGGUAAAAAGAGAAAACUUCGAGAUCUAAUCCAGAGUACCACGAGACACGUGAAACCUUGUGGGAAGCAGGGAGGACCACCUCCCAAGGCUAAAUACUACCUAGUGACCGAUAGUGAAGCAGUA